Molecule: transfer RNA, 72 nt
Filed under: Scedosporium boydii
Lineage: Eukaryota; Fungi; Ascomycota; Sordariomycetes; Microascales; Microascaceae
Also listed under: 1 other name
Description: tRNA-Glu
Rfam family: tRNA
About the family: Transfer RNA (tRNA) molecules are approximately 80 nucleotides in length. Their secondary structure includes four short double-helical elements and three loops (D, anti-codon, and T loops).
Source: RNAcentral
GGAUUAGUAGUCAAGUGGUAAGACACAACACUUUCAAUGUUGGGAUCAUCGGUUCGAAUCCGAUCUAGUCUA